Molecule: ribosomal RNA, 242 nt
Filed under: uncultured bacterium
Lineage: Bacteria
Description: partial 16S ribosomal RNA
Rfam family: Bacterial small subunit ribosomal RNA
Source: RNAcentral
GCUUGCACUGAUUAUUUUAGUGGCAAACGGGUGAGUAAUACAUGGGAAUCUACCUUGCAGUACGGAAUAACUAUUGGAAACAAAAGCUAAUACCGUAUAUUGCCGAGAGGUGAAAGAUUUAUCGCUACAAGAUGAGCCCCAUGCAAGAUUAGCUAGUUGGUGAGGUAAAUGCUUACCAAGGCUACGAUCUUUAGCUGGUCUGAGAGGAUGAUCAGCCACACUGGAACUGAGACACGGUCCAG